CGUUGGCAUUGAAAGUCCGACAAGCGAGCUGCGAACAACGCUUCAUUCCCAGCAGCCCAGCCAACACCAAACAACCCCAUCUGAAGAAUUCUAACAAAAAAAAACCAAAAACAAAACAAAAAUGUCCCAAACAAUCAUUUGGUUUGCUUAAAAUUGGACACGCAAAUGACAUCAACAGGGAAAUUGAAUCCGAAAUCAGCCAAAUAAAUAAUUGCGAAUUAAUUGUGUUCAACUGUCAAAUAAUAACAUGAGAAGUGCCUGUCAAAUAUGCAUGUACAAAAUAAGUGGCAGUUUAAAAGGAAUCUUUUUGAAUUAAACAAAUUAUAUCUCGUUCGAAAUCAACUUAAUUUGAAGUGCAUUUAUUUGUGUGUUUGCGGAAGAAAUACAAAUGCAAAACAAAAUUCCAACCAUGUUGAUUACGUGCCCCAAAACAUGUGAGUUCUGGUUAUAUAAAGAAAGAAACAACAACAAAGAUACGAAAUACUUGUACAAAUAAGGGAAAUGUCAGUGAAAAAUGAAAUGGAAAAGGAACAAAAAUUGCAUCAUCAAAGUGGAAUGGAAUGGGGGGUAACCACCAUUGCAUCUGCUGAUCAAAGGUAAGCCUUAGACACAUAUAGAAAAAUCUAGAAAAUAUAAAUAUUCCAAAAUCCCAUUGUUAUCUACAUAAAUUCAUUGGAAAUAAAAGUUUGUUUUGGGAAUUCCCUUCACUUGAAUUUGAUUAUUGCUGAACGCAGAUUAGAACAUAACAUACGAUAAUUUUAUAGCAUACAAUAUACAUAUGAGAAAUACAUUUGUCUAUAUGUAUGCACAUAUGUACAUAUAUCGAAGCACACACGUGACUGCAAAAAUAAAUACAUACGUAAAUAUGUACGAGUAAAGGAACAGGACUGGGACAGCAGUAGCUUUACUGCGUCUUCGUUUUCUUUUGAGUUUUCGUCUGUUUAGGGUCUAAGAAACGUAGAUAAAUCGUAUCUCUCAGAGUGAUAUUGCCAAACCCUCUAGUACCUUGAUCUAAUCAUGGAUCUGGGUAGAACGUGCUUAUUUUCUGCCAGGAUCCUGCUCUGGUCAGAUCUCACAUGUUUUGUGAAAUUUUGUUUUGUUUCGGCGCAACAAAAACAGGAAUUCGGGAAAAGCAAAAGUCAUCACACACCCACAAACAAACACACACGUAAACGCAAAGAUAAAAGUUUGCAGCUAUGUACAUGUAUGGAUGGGAGAGAGGCUAUAGAAAAGGAGAGAAGAGAACUCAUUUUCGUCAAGAAAAAAAAAGCAGAAACAAAUGUGCAACGUAUACAGAGGCAAGCAUGAGGCAAAAAAAGAACGUGGAUAAUAAUGAAUGAAAGAAUGGUAGAGGAAGCAACAGCAAUACAGAGAAAGAGAGACAAAGAGCAAGGCAGAGAGGGAAAGAGAGCCAAUUGAAGGCCAUCAGGCCGAGCGUCGUCAUGUGGUUUGAGUGUAGGCAACAUCGGUGUGUGGGGCAGUAGGGCAACCCAAAAGGUGGCAAGCAAAAGCGAAACAGCAACAGGAACAGCGGGAUACAGCAAAGCCAGAGCAAAAUCAAAGAAUCAGGAACAGGAAAAUGUGAAAAAAAAACUUGACGAAACUGAAGCAGCGUCGAAAAGAGAGACAGAGAGAGAGAGAGCGAGAGAGCGGCGCUCAAAAGCCAAACUAGAAAGAUAGAAAAGAAACUCUGCCGGCGCGCCGUUAGCGACUGCGCUCGCAGCAGAGAACGGCCAGAACAGCGCGAGAACUUUCCAUGCGGCCUGACAGACAUUGCAGCGGCACCUUCAACCGAUCGCAGGCCCACAAACACACGACCCUCCAUAAUAGUACAUUAAAUAAUACUACGCGUUCCGUGUUUUUUCUGUGACGCAUCAAUAUCCUGAAGGAACACAGUAGAAUACAACCCCCCAGUUAACUGAAAACAAAGUGUUUGACAAAGAAAAAAAAUACAUAAAAGCAGGAGCGGAACCAACCGGAGAGUAAAUGAGAGAAAUUUCGCGGCACUGCGUCAGCAUGGAAAUUUAAUUAGCGACAGUUCAGUGCAGCUGAGCGGAGACAGGGGCCAGGCUCAAUCAGAAUUCCCGCAACGGGGACGCCACACUGUGAGGAGAGAGAGGAGGAGCACAAAAAACAAAUUUUGUUGAAUUUUGCAUGACGACAGCAAAAAGCAAGCGACGGGAAAACAAUCGAAGUGCACCACGGACCCACACUGCAACUGUGUUUGCUCGUGCGAGUGUGUGUGUGUGUGAGAGAGAGGGAGAGAGCGAGCGGACAAACAAAUAUGGCGCAGUCAUGCGCACUCUCUGAGAAACUUGAACUUGAAAACCGGCAAACCGAGAGAGGGAGAAACAGCCAGAGUGAGUGAGAGAGCGAGCAGAGCAGAGCAGGGAAAGGGCACCCACACAUGCAAGCAGAACACGCACCCACAGAAAGAGACAGAGAGACCCUCUGCCUUGCAGUUCUCUCUUUUGGAAUAUGCAACACACUUCCUUACGUACAUAUAUCCUGGAUUGUUUGGUAUUCUUGAGCCUUGACCUUUCCACGCCCGUGCAGCAAUCUGCGUAGGCAGCUCAUACACACACACACAUCCACUCGAACAUAUACAAUAGGUACAUAUAGAGAACAUCCCACAAGUCGGCUGGCAGCUGUUGGGCCCGAGCGCACGGAAUAGGUCCGAAACGGACCAAAAGAGUGGUCAACCGAUGGAAAUAAUGCAAAAAAAAUAUACAUAAUAAAUAAAUGCAUACCGAUUAAAUAUAACAUGGAGUGUUUAGAGGUCGUGUAUCGAUUAAUUUGCAUAUUUUUGGUGAGCUUGCAGAUAUUUUUAAUUACAAUUCAUCAAUACGGUGCUAAGGGAUUCUAUGCAUUUUUAUUUCCCUAAAUGGGUUCGAAAGUCCCAAGUUUUAGUUUCAAAAUAUUGUGAAAUAUAAGUUUCAGAUGAAGAUCAGCUAGAAAUGGUGAAAUUCAAUGCAAUGGCAAUUAUUGGAAAUGCAUAAAGUAUUUUAGUAUAGGAAGUGCCCGAAACAGCUUGGACUGCAGCCACCCACACACACCUGCAUACAUCGAGAGGGAGGAGCGAGCGAGCGAGCGAAAUAGUUUGUGUCCGCGCUGAGCUUUCAGCUGAAAGCUCUUCCGUGUCUCGUGUCUCUGUGCAACUGCCGUUGGGAUACACCCUGUGCUCGCUUUGAAUAUGGUGCAAGCAAGUGAACACAGCUGGUGGUAUCCAAUGGCCGUUCUGCAACAAUGCAACAUCAGAAAGAACAACAGCAACGAGAACAACAACAAUUACAGGGUGAGUCAUGCCACAGUUGAACAUUUCGUUUAAUCUUUUGUUUUUUUUUUUGUGUUGAAAUAACAUAUCGUUUCGCAAGUCCAAUUUAUCAACAGUUUUUCAUUUCUUUUACUUUGUAACGAACUUUAAUUUUGCCAUACUAAAAAUGAAAAUUUCCUUAGCCAUAAGCUUCAGUUGGAUUCAUUUAAAAAAAACCCCCCUUAAAGAAAAACAAACAAAAGAUAAAUUGGAAUUUGAGUAAAAUAAUCUUAAGAGUUUAAGCAUCGUUUUAGAAAAUAAUCAGUGAGAGAAAACAAAAAUUGCAUAUGAUUCUAUUCAGCAUUUUCUUGAUAUCCAUUUAAAAUAUUUCAUUUCGUUUCGAAUUUGAUUUACAUUUACAUUUGAUUUGACUGCUUUUCCCCUCUUAUACCCCCUCGCCCUGCACACACAAACUUGCAGCGCUCAUCCAUCCAUCAGGCGGGGGGAGGCGGGGGUGCGGACAUGCAACGCAACGCUCUGAAAACGCCUGAAAACAUUAAUUAUGCCACACACACACACCGAACAGCAAUCCGUCCGUAGUAAUGAGUGAAAUUUACAAAGCAGCGAAAUCUCUGGCAGAAACAAUUAAAAAGAUUUUCAUGCUGCAAAUUGAUUUGGUUUGUUAUUUAUAUUUAUCUCUCUAUUCCCCCCUACCAUCCCCCAUUCCCCGCUGCCACGGGGUUUUCUCCCAAUCCAAUCGCCUGGCGUGGCUGCAACAAAUGCUGCAAAAUGAAAACCAUUUGGUUUGCCAUUUUCUAUUUUCGUUUCGCUUUGCCUUUUUGGCUCACUGACAAUCUUCGGAUUGAGGGGUGAGGGGUGAGGGGUGGGUGCCACGGUGUGAAUUGGCCAUCCACGAGUGGGUUCUGGGCUCUGGCAAAGGCAUGCUCUGGUGACAUUAUUUCGACAUUUGUUGCAGCCACUUUUGUCACUUUGCAUUUCAAAUGACCGUCAAUUAUCCUUUGUCGACACUCUCCCUCUAGUAUCGCUCUCCCAUCGCUCUGUCUCUGUCUGUCCCCACCUCUGCUUGGGACCCCAUGAGGUCAAGGAAAACGAAAUUGAUUUUCUUUCUGCUCGAACACGUUUCUUCUUUGUACAAAAGUACAUAUACUAUUUCUUUUUCACGUUAUGCAAUCGCUUUGGGUUUUGUCAUUGCAAUGCGUCCUUUUUUUUCGACACCACUAAAAAGAGAUGGAAAAAUCAAACGAUUGUCACCGGAUCGGUCAUCCCAUCGACUUGUGUGCAUUCUAUUCGACGCAGUUCCGUGGCUGUUCCAGCCGAUGGAUGACCUCAUGACAAGUCUAUGAUGAAUUACGCUGCUUGUUCGCGUAUAAAAUAAUGCCAUCAAACUCAAUAAAAAACUAUAACUUACGCAAUCGCAUGAAAUAGGUAACAAGUUCCAGCUAAAAGUUAAAGCUAGCUGCUAUUCUUAGAAACGUGAGAGAACCAGAUAAAAUCAAUAUCUCAUGAAAGAACCAAAGGUUAACAUUUUAUUUAUUCAUUUGUGGUUGGGAGAUUGAAACUCUUUUAUAGAUAAUAUAUACUAUAUUUAUUUUAUACUCUUACUCUACGCUAACGAUUAAAGUUCAUACAGAGGAACUAUCUAAACCACAUCUGUACAUCUUUAUGAGAAAAAAAUGGGUUUUUUAAGCAGAUCCCCCCAGUUGGCAGAGACUCUUCUUUUUUAAAGGUUCUUGGAACAGAGGGUACUUGUAUUUGGAAUCCCUAUUUGUUGAAAAACCUACUUUUCAAGUCGCUUAUUUUGUAAAAUCUUUAAACUCAAUUUUAUCUAUAAUUCUAUUGGGUAUUUUUAGCGGUCCCCGCGUUGGGUUGCUUUAAAUCAUUUAACACACAAAUGUGUCAGAUUAAAUUUGUGUCGAAAUUAUAACAGUAACAGGGAAACGGGAGAACUGGGCAGGGAGGGGGACACUAAUCACACGAAAGGCUUCGGGCCAUGCAUGAUGCAUGACAAGAUUAACAAUUGCGAUACCAGCUGUGUCGGGCUGGCCUGGCCUCAAACAAAAUAAUCGCGGUGGAAAACUGAAUUUUCAAUUUAAGGUUGACCUUAGAGCAAAAUUUGAUCGAUAAUUUCGCAUAAUUGGGGGGCUCUCACGGAAAAAAUACAAAACUGUGACAUGCACAAAGAGAGAGAGAGAGAGAGAGAGAGAGAGAAAUACAUACAUACAUACCGAGACCUUGAACAUUAACGCCCAAUGCAAGCUGCAACUGCGACAUGAGAGAUACUCGUAGGUGUGAGGGAGAUGCAGGCACAGGCACUGGCCCACUCGGAGCUUGUGCGAGAGCGAUAGAUAAAAAGAGAGACAGCGCCAGGGUGAGUGAGUGAGUGAGUGCAGUGACAAAAGCUUUGCCACCAAAAGCACGCUCUCUCCCUAUCUUUGCGUGUCGUGUCGUGUCGCUUCAUAUGGAAUGCCGAGUGUUAGCUUUCGAACGGAACCGAAACGAGCAGCUGACAGUUGAGCUUCAGCAUUAGACCAAGUAGUUUGACUUUUUAGUUUUUCGAAACGAAACGCGAAACGAAAUGAAAAGUUUGCCGACAAGUGUGCGUGUUCGUGUACGUGUGUUCGUGCGUGUGCUUGUCCAUGUGCCUGUGUGUGUUGCUGUUGUGGCAGCUGCUGCACUUGCAGGCGUUGCAGCGAGAGAAGACCGUACAGAAAUAAAUUCCGCCCUGCAUUUAGUAUAUUUCACCUUAGAGCGUCUUUGGUCGGCCACACACACACACAAACCCCUUCGCACACACACAACAAACACACACACGCGCUGCAAGUUUCUUUCAUUCACGUCCGCGUGGCCAUCAAAACGGAAAGCAUUGUCGGUUCGCGUCGCGCUGCAACGUUCGGCUAAAAGAAAAUCGGCCUAAAAUUGUAACAGUUUUCCUUUGCAACGAAACGCCAAAAACACGCUGCAGUCGCUGCUGCAGUAGACGCUGGCGUCGUCGCCGUCGCCGUCUCUGCCGCUGACGCUGACGAUGUGAGGCCAGCCGCUGGCUGCGGCCGCUGUCGGCUGCUUGCCUGCACCCGGUCAGCGUCAGUGUUCAUUUCCCCAUCGAGUCGGCCACACACGGGCAGGAGGCGUCCAACUGAGGCGCAGGUGGCCAGCGGCAGGUGUGGACGUACGUAGGACAGAGGCAUCCGACAGUCAGUUGUGGAUUUCGUUGCGGAUUUGCCGGAUUCGAGCACGGAUUUCGAGGCAGUGGCGGCUCCAGUGGCUCCACAGCGGUUUUGUUUCCCCCCCAGUCCAGUCCAGCCACAGUUUUCGUUUUGAGUUUUCCCCGCAAGUGUUUUCUUUGUGUUUGUUUCCCUCGUUGUGGAUUGCAUGGGAUUGCAUAAACAACAGCAACAUUUGGGCCUUCGUAUACGUAACAUUAUUUCAGUUCAAUUCGUAAAGCAACGGCUCGGCACAUCUGCACUGCAAUUGCAUUAUAAUUUGUUGUUUUAGUACUUCCCUGGGGAUUAUGCAAUUGCACACUGGCAACUGCAACAACAGCAACAACAACACAGUUGUUGGAGAGACACCCUGUAAUUGCCACGGUACGAAACAAUGCCAAUGCAAUGUGAACAAUUUUACGGGACCCACACACUCCGUAACAGAUACAGAUACAGAUACAAAUAGCUCUCAAACACACACUAUAGUGUUCGGCGUCUGGCCUGGCAAUUUGUUUAAAACAAUCAGCGGCCACUGUGCGGCGGCCUUCCCUCUCUUUCACACCGCAGGUAGUGUUGCCCUCUCGCUUGCUGAAUGUUUUAAAUUUAGUUUUUCUGCACUUGCUUGUAACCCAAAUUUUCCUUUUUGGUGGCAUAUCCAUUUGAAUCUUAUAUAAGAUGCAGGCAGCAUUUAGCUCAAACAAUGUCAGGCACUGGGGUGGCAGAGAAAGGGUUACAGGGUCACAAAGGGGGAGGGGAGAGAGAGAGAGAGACGACGACAGAGUACACCUGAAGUUAAUUGCAAAAAAAAAGCGGAUUUAAUUCCCCAAGUGAAGCGGAAUCUUGGCUCAAUUAAAGCCCAGCUUUGGCAGGCGGCGGCACCACAUGAAAGGCACAACAGAAAUACAUACAAGCGAUAAACUAACAAUUUUAGUAUGGCAGAAAGAGAGAGACAGCAAAGACGAGCAGCACUUGCAAUUUGAGAGAUUCAAAGCAACAAAAACAAUCCCCAAACACACACACACACGCACACACGUAAUCACUUGACCUUGCACGGUUUUUGCAAUACAAACAAAAUAUAUACAGAUAUAUGUGUAUCGCAUAGAUACAAUUCAAGCAUGUGUAGAGGUAACAGCCAAUUGCAAUAUUUUCGUGUAAAAAUAACGAAUAGAACAGAACAGAGCAGACUUUUAUAUAAGACCCCACACAUACACACACACACACUAGGGGAGACUGUGCCACUGUGUGGGUGUGUAUCUGUGUGGGUGAUGAAAUAACUGCAAUGCCUCCGCCAUGAGGUCGAUUUUUGUUGGCUUUUCACACACAUAUGUAUGUAUAUAUAGAGGCAACACACACUCACUCUGAUAUGUGGGGUAUGUGGGGGGCGGAUGACUGAAAAAUGCAUUUGACACAGAAAGCAGAGCACAGAGCAGCAAACACACAAACAUAUAUCGAACAGAUAAUGUCACAGCCCAGGCUGAUUCAGAUAUUAUCCUAAAUAAUACACUAUCUGACAUAUAUAACAUGAUUCAUGGAAUCGCUGAUUGAUUUGAGGCCCAAGGGAGGCACACAUUUCGCGAGUCGCCAAACCAGUUAGAAGGCCUUCAACUUCAAGCUAAAAAACCCAUAGAAAAACAACUUUGAUACAAGAGAAAUCUGCGUAAAAGUGUGUUCCAAACAAAACGAAAACAUUUCACUCGAAUAUUUGUAUAUUUAGCAUAUCAAAUUUGAUAGGUAUAUGCCAUUGGACUUUGCAGUCCGUUCUUUUUGUUUAAAUUGUAGAACACAGAACUUAGCCCAGGAGCUCGAACGUAUAUUUUAUAUGUAGAUUCAGCUAAAUUUGCAUUUGGAAUUUGAACUUUAACUGAUAUCAGCCGUAGACAGCCCCAGACAGAGACCAUCCCAAACACGUCGACUGUCAUGAACAGAUAUCGUUAUGACAUCAUUGCCGGCGUCACUUAGUGAUGGAUCGUUAGCUAUAUACCACAAAGUAUAUAUGUAUGUACCAUUUACAUAUGUUAGUCAGCGUUUAUUUGGAAGCUGCUUGACGUACGAGAGUAUUUAGUUGUUUUGCUGAUAAGUCCAGUCUAGCAGUCUGAAUGAAUCACGUGUUUCAGUAGGUUCGUUUGGGGUCCCAGCAUUCGAAAGUUUCCAAGUGCUUAAAUAUACAUUCACGCUCUUUGGAUGUCUUUUGUUUCGAAAGUUUGCUGUUAAAAGGCGACCUUCAGCCCGGGCCGCAAGGUCAUAUGUGGAGGAGAUUCCAUUGCAGCAGCCUGCUAAACUAUACCAAAUGGAGGUCAAUCUCGGCCUCCUGCAACGCGACCGCCCCUUCGUCCUUCACAGCACAGCAGUUAUGUAAAGAAGGAAGUGGGUCAGUGUUACGACCCAGAUUCCCCCAAGUGGGGUAGGGGGGGAGGGGAAUUCCCAUCCUCAGCCUGCAGUUUGAUUAGUUUGAAAUGUGUUUUUUUGGCACCUCAAAUAAUUACAGCUGGAUGGGCCGCUUCGGGCCUUGCGGCCGCCUGGCUAUUGAUUUUUGGUCGGGCCGUCAGUUAUGCGCUGCUGCACUGAAUACAGUAUAUAUAGUAUAGCCAACCUAGAUAACUUUGGCAUGGCCCAAGAGUGUACGACUAUAAGUAUCUAUCGGAUACAUAGGCACUGCCUGGCUGCAGUUCGCGAGCUUAGCCAAGGAGCCAAAAAUAAAGAUUCUUUUUGGCACUGGGCCAAUAUUGCAAUGCACAUUUUGCAAGGGAGGAAAGAACGAGGGACGGACAGGGGGGUUGCACUGCAGGGUAAAAUGAAAAGUGAAAUGUUGCCAUGCGAAGUGGAAAGAAAAAGAACAAGAACAAGAGCAUCUAUCUAUCUAUCUAUAUCUAUAUAUAUGUGUUUGCCAGAGAGCUCUGACAUUUAUUAGUUUGCUGCCCCGUAAAACGAAGUCGUGAAGUGCUCUAUAAAUAUGACCAAAAUGCACUCGAAAUGACAAAUUUAUGGCCAACUGCAUAACUCAUCUAUUGCCCACCUCUGACCCAUCGGCUUCCACCUACUCCUGCCCCCCCCCCCCCCCUUUUUCUGUGGCACAUUGAAUGCACACUUGUGUGUCACUUCGCUUUGCCACUUAUUACAUCACCAAGAAGGCAAUCGACACGAUACGAUACGAUACGAUAGACUUUGCUUAAGGCCUUUACCGAUUUGGGUCAACCUGAGCCUGCCAACAAAUCUUCACAGACACACACGCACACACACUCUUUGAUAUCAGGUUUUGUCGAUGGGUUUUUAGUCGUCCUAGUCGAAGGCACUUUUGUUGUUCUUAGCCAAACAAGAGUUAAAGUUAAAAGUUAGAGGCAGAACAUUAAAGAUUUAAGUGUGCCAGGGCGUUGACGAGUUCAUUCAUUACAUUUCCCCUGUCUUUCGUAGGUCUUUCCUUUCUAUCUAUAUCAGCCCCUGCUCCUCUUAAUCUUUCGGUCUUUCAAAAAUAUAUUCUCAUUAGCUAUCACGCCUUUGGCGCAUGACUCAGUUUUUUAGCUGUUGUCUUUAAUUUUAGACAAAAUCCCCAUAAAAACAGCCGAAAAAUACCGCCUUAUGCUGCCACAACAGUCGUCAUUAGUUAGCUGCGUCAAUUGUUGUUAUUUAUAAACGCCGCUGUGGCAAAUUCAUCUGGAAUACUCGUACAUUGGAAUACAUGGAAUUUCUUCUUUCUACUUCCAUAUCGCUGUGACUGUGCGUCUGUUGCUAAGCGAGAGCCCGCGCUCACUUGAAAUAACCGAAAAAUCAUUCAUAAAAUUUGUGAAAUAUUUUGCCCGUCAGACAGACAGCACAAGGGUUGCCAUUCUAUGCUUUUGUCUGUCUCCCCGUCUGGUCUGGUCGGGUCUGGCCUGUCGGCAGAUAAAGCACGUCUGGAAUAGCAAACAUUCCACAAUUGGUAUUACGUAUACGCAGCGUUCUCCAAGCGAUAUGCGUUUCUUCUCUCAGAUGAUUGUGUGUGCGCGCGUGCGUUGGCUUCUACACACAGAUAUAGCUGUACAUAUGUAUAUAUAUAACUACUAUAUGUAUUGUGGACUUGUGUGGGUAUGUGUGUGUGUCUGUUUAGCAGAUAAUACGACUGCCAGAGUCCGCGUGCGUGUUUUGUGACUCGGCCGCGCCGAUCAUGCGACCUACCAAAUUGGUUAACGAGAAGGAAACACGUUCUUUCUAAUGAACACUUUUCAUUGAGUGUAUUUGUAUUUUGUUGGAGAGAGAGAGAGAGAGGAGCUUAGGUGUUUUGGGUAUAUUCUGCUUCUGCUUCUGUUGCUCUUUCUUUACCCCCAAAAUCCAUUUUCCCGCUCUUCGAGUGUCUGUUUGCAUUUGCAAAUACUUUUUUGGCCAAGUCAAACUGUAAUUUAUCUAAGUAGCGUUAUGGGCCACUUCCGGUGACGACAACACUUCUUCGAAACUUUGUUGGCACUGGCAGCUUUGAUGACCCAGAUAGUGGAAGUAAACGUGUUGUUGUUUGUGGGUGGAGGGGGGAGGGGCACGGGUCGGUGCUUCAUAAAGUGCUAAUGAAAAAUGCUCAGCAUUUGCCUAAUGAAAUUAUAACUGAGCCACUAAGUGCGCCAUAAAGAGGGAAGAAAAGUGGUAGGGGGGCUAGGGGUGGAGUACUACUGAUGUUUUGGGGCAUUUUAGAAAAUUUUUUUCGUGGCAUAGAAACCAAAAACCAAACCGCAUUUCGUUGCUUUUUAUUCAGUUAACGCUUUUUAAGCUUAUGAGCGAGCCAGCUUUUCAUUUAUCGAUACGCCCCAUAAACACACACCUAAGCACUCACACGCACACGCACACAGAGCGACUGUAAUGAACAAUAAUUUAUUUAAUUGACCGAGCUCUUGUUCUUUCGAAAUUAGAACACACACAGGCACACACAGAGACACUCAAGCACUCGGUUUGCUGGCACGCGAUUAAAAAAAACAACAACACUGAAUGGUUUACACAUACUCGUAUUAUGAAUUUUUAUAAGCAGAAACUUUUCAUUGGCUGUCAGUCGUCUUUCCAAAACUUAGUCCACAUUUUUAUUCGUAUGUGGCAUCCAUACCCUUCGCUGCCACAGAUGACGCAUCACGUGUACGCGGCGUGUGUUUUUUUUUUUUGGAAAUUGUUAAAAUUCUGUUACUUUUUCCGUCCCACAAAUAUGGAUUUUGUUUUUUAAUUUGCUGCUUUUCUUUUUCUUGGUGUUUGGUUCGCUUUUCGUGUCGUUUCUUUUUUUUUUUUUUUGUUAAUUUGAGCCCAAUGCCUGCUCAAUGUUUGGCCUCGUUUUGGAUUUAUUUUGCCGCACCCCGAGAGUCGAGUAAAAAGCAGCCAUGCAAGUCGAGAUCGAAGGCUGCCUUUGGCAGAAUACAAAAAACGAAUCUUUGCUCCAAAUAACAUUUGGAACUGUUUGGAUGGGCAGGGGAUCAUAAAUGCUGUGGGAGUCCCCCCCCCCCCCCCACAUGCAUCGUGUACCCUGUACAUUUAUCAGCUUAUAAUCGUCUUUCCUAUCUUAUCUCCUGGUCAGGGCGGGGGAGCAAUUCAUGUUUUACUUUGUCAGUUUCCGCAUGGAUUUAACCGGUGACUGAUGGGCCCCCGAGAGCAUACUUAGAGGGAGCAAACGACAUUUUUUGUGACAUACAAAUGACUUGUAUAACCGAUCACCGAUCGGCAAUCAGCGAUCCGCAUCGACCCACUUUCCACCAGCAACGGGUGGGCCUUAUCGGCUCCGCACCUUGGCACCUGCGAUUGCUUAUCACUCAUUUUCGAUGGGGGCUGACAUGGGUGUUUCCGUUGGAUCGGAUCGCGCACACAAAUCGCUGGUGGUUCAUUGCACCUUCUCUCGCCCCACAUGUUCAGCUUUAUUCUGCAUGAGUUUCGGUUUUUUUCUUGAUUUUUCUGUUAGUUCGUGUUCCCUCGUAUCCCUUCUUUUUUUUGUUUCUGUUCUGCCAAAUCCAGUAACAGCUGCAGGAAAAUCCACUGACUGCCACAGUCGCUGCCACGCCCACGCCCACGCCCAGACUGGCUACGCGACCGCGACGGGCUGAAAAACAAACGAUUAAACGAUAAACCGAUAUAUGCGACAACGAUAAACGAUUAACUGAGCAUCCUUUGAAGGUUUUGGGUUGCGUGUCAGGAGUGCAUUUGCACUGAAACAUUCUGAAGCUUGUAAAUGCACUAUCUGGUACGACAUUCCAGAACGUACAAUCUUCCC
This is a long non-coding RNA of Drosophila miranda, 12676 nucleotides long. RefSeq lists it as uncharacterized. The transcript has 3 exons. NCBI's taxonomy places the organism in Eukaryota, Metazoa, Arthropoda, Insecta, Diptera, Drosophilidae. The record is from RefSeq and is a predicted model, not a curated record.